GUCAACUAAAAAGCUUCAGUAAAUAUAUAACAAGAACCUACGAAACUUCCAAAUCAGUGGGAAAAUGUUCUAACUUCAAAAAUCACUAAUGAAUACAUCCUAAAGCAAAGUGCUGCAUUUGAAAAUCAGUCUCUCGGUUACCUGUCAAGUCCAGAGCUUCAGGAGUUUGAGGUAUACCCUGGAAUAGCAGCUGACAAGCUAUUGAAAUGAAAAUUCUGAAUAAAAUUAGGGCAGCCCAUUAGCCCAAAUGCGGGAACAUGGUAAGAGAUUUCAUGGAUUUGUGAGUUUGUGAUUUUUUUCUUGUCAUUGAUAUUCUUACUUUGAAAAGUAUAGAAAGUAAUUUUUGCAUUUUUUGGGGUAGGGAGGGAAUAAAAACCCAAACUGAGAUCUGAGGUUUUUAUAGUUUGGCAAAUUUCAAAGAUAUGAAAGCAGAAUUUUUGGCACUUGGGGAUUGAGAGGCAAAUGACAUCAUAUGGCUUAAGGGAAAUAGAGAGCUAAAAACGUACAUUUGGAAAAUUUCAGAAGCUGGCUGCCGCUGAAAUAAUUUUGAAUUUUUUUCCAGUAAAUUUAGUUGUCACAAAAGGCACUAGAUUGACAGCCCCGCAGAGGAAAGCGUGCGGGUCCGGGAGAUGCAAUGUCAGCUCCUGCCUGAGGAGCGCCAGGGCUGGAGGGCCUGUGGUUGCCUUGUCGGAGCUGGCCUUUCCGGGGCCACUCCCUGCGCUGGUGACACUUUGGGGGAUUCUCUCUUGUUGACACCGAUGGUUAUACCUAAUUCCAACCUUCCAGUACUGAGUCCAAAGGAGGCAAGGAGAACCAAGGGGGAAAUGGAGAUCCUCAAAUCAAGUCUUGUUCAGUGGGAAGGUCAUGAAUUAAGGGUGAAGAGAUCCAGUCCUGGAUGGGGAUCCAUACUCAGUGCAGAGUUUGCUUAAGGCUCUCUCUUUUUAAAAUAUGUAAGUAAAAUCUUUAAAAUAAAAUAAAGUGGUAAUUUUUUAUUGCAGUAAAAUAUGCAUUACAUACAAUUUAUCAUUUUAAGCAUUUUUACGUCUACAUUUCAGUGAUGUGUAGAACAUUCAUGCGGUUGUGCAACAAACAACCUUCCCAGAACUUUUUCAUCUUCCCAAACUGAAAUUUUGUCCCCAUUAAACACCCCCUUCUUCCUUUCCUCCCAGCCCUUGGCAAGCACCCUUAUAUUUUCUUUCUUUAUGAAUUUGUACCUUGGUACUUAGAGUAUUUGUGUAUUUGUCCUUUGUGACUGGCUUGUUUUACUGAAUGUCAAUGUCUUCA
This 1284-nucleotide long non-coding RNA is filed under the name Canis lupus familiaris (dog). RNAcentral's name for it is "lncRNA (ENSCAFG00030007304.1)". Lineage: Eukaryota; Metazoa; Chordata; Mammalia; Carnivora; Canidae. The record is from RNAcentral.